Molecule: ribosomal RNA, 482 nt
Filed under: uncultured bacterium
Lineage: Bacteria
Description: partial 16S ribosomal RNA
Rfam family: Bacterial small subunit ribosomal RNA
Source: RNAcentral
AUUGAACGCUGGCGGCAUGCUUUACACAUGCAAGUCGAACGGUAACAGGCCGCAAGGUGCUGACGAGUGGCGAACGGGUGAGUAAUGCAUCGGAACGUGCCCAGUCGUGGGGGAUAACUACUCGCAAGAGUAGCUAAUACCGCAUACGAUCUAUGGAUGAAAGCGGGGGACCGUAAGGCCUCGCGCGAUUGUAGCGGCCGAUGUCAGAUUAGGUAGUUGGUGGGGUAAAGGCUCACCAAGCCAACGAUCUGUAGCUGGUCUGAGAGGACGACCAGCCACACUGGAACUGAGACACGGCCCAGACUCCUACGGGAGGCAGCAGUGGGGAAUUUUGGACAAUGGGCGCAAGCCUGAUCCAGCAAUGCCGCGUGCAGGAAGAAGGCCUUCGGGUUGUAAACUGCUUUUGUACGGAACGAAACGGCUCUGGUUAAUACCCGGGGCUAAUGACGGUACCGUAAGAAUAAGCACCGGCUAACUACGUG